Molecule: long non-coding RNA, 291 nt
Filed under: Elaeis guineensis (African oil palm)
Lineage: Eukaryota; Viridiplantae; Streptophyta; Magnoliopsida; Arecales; Arecaceae
Description: long non-coding RNA (EGUI_LNC038583)
Source: RNAcentral
UAGAUGUAUCAGAGUAAAAAAAAUAUGGGUGUAUUAGAGGCGAAUCAGUGCCAAAUACUGUAUCAAAGCAAAAAUAUUUAAAAGAGCAUAUAAAUAUAAAAAAAAAUUAGAUAGACGAUAUGCUACUUUCUCCAUUAUGAUAUCAUUCUCUCCCUUUUUGACAUCAUCAAAAAAAUAGACUAAAGGGAGUAAGAUUUUUCAUGAUUGCAUAUCAGAUAUCAAUGUAAUAGUACAUUCAUUCAAGUAUAAUAGGCAUUCAUCCAUUCAUUCAUCCAAAAAAGAAAUGAGCCA